Lyophyllum atratum is the source of this 105-nucleotide non-coding RNA. The record is from the annotation of a GenBank genome assembly. NCBI's taxonomy places the organism in Eukaryota, Fungi, Basidiomycota, Agaricomycetes, Agaricales, Lyophyllaceae.
GGUGAGAUGGCCGAGCGGUCCAAGGCGCCAGACUAAGGUAGCGCGAAUGCAGAAACCUGUUAUCUGGUCUCUCCGGAGGCGGGGGUUCGAAUCCCCCUCUCAUCA